GCUGACGAGUGGCGAACGGGUGAGUAAUGUAUCGGAACGUACCAUUCAGUGGGGGAUAACGUAGCGAAAGUUACGCUAAUACCGCAUAUUCUGUGCGCAGGAAAGCAGGGGACCUUCGGGCCUUGCGCUGAUUGAGCGGCCGAUAUCAGAUUAGCUAGUUGGUGGGGUAAAAGCUCACCAAGGCGACGAUCUGUAGCGGGUCUGAGAGGAUGAUCCGCCACACUGGAACUGAGGCACGGUCCAGACUCCUACGGGAGGCAGCAGUGGGGAAUUUUGGACAAUGGGGGCAACCCUGAUCCAGCCAUGCCGCGUGAGUGAAGAAGGCCUUCGGGUUGUAAAGCUCUUUCGGCCGGGAAAAAAUCGCAUGGGUUAAUACCCUGUGUGGAUGAUGGUACCGGAAUAAGAAGCACCGGCUAACUACGUGCCAGCAGCCGCGGUAAUACGUAGGGUGCGAGCGUUAAUCGGAAUUACUGGGCGUAAAGCGUGCGCAGGCGGUUUUGUAAGACAGGCGUGAAAUCCCCGGGCUCAACCUGGGAACUGCGCUUGUGACUGCAAGGCUAGAGUAUGGCAGAGGGGGGUGGAAUUCCACGUGUAGCAGUGAAAUGCGUAGAGAUGUGGAGGAACACCAAUGGCGAAGACAGCCCCCUGGGCCAAUACUGACGCUCAUGCACGAAGGCGUGGGUAGCAAACAGGAUUAGAUACCCUGGUAGUCCACGCCCUAAACGAUGUCAACUAGGUGUUGGGAGGGUAAAACCUUUUAGUACCGGAGCUAACGCGUGAAGUUGACCGCCUGGGGAGUACGGACGCAAGGUUAAAACUCAAGGGAAUUGACGGGGACCCGCACAAGCGGUGGAUGAUGUGGAUUAAUUCGAUGCAACGCGAAAAACCUUACCUACCCUUGACAUGUCCAGGAGCCUGAAGAGAUUUGGGUGUGCCCGAAAGGGAACUGGAACACAGGUGCUGGAUGGCUGUCGUCAGCUCGUGUCGUGAGAUGUUGGGUUAAGUCCCGCAACGAGCGCAACCCUUGUCGUUAAUUGCCAUCAUUCAGUUGGGCACUUUAACGAGACUGCCGGUGACAAACCGGAGGAAGGUGGGGAUGACGUCAAGUCCUCAUGGCCCUUAAGGGUAGGGCUUCACACGUCAUACAAUGGUCGGUACAAAGGGUUGCCAACCCGCGAGGGGGAGCCAAUCCCAGAAAGCCGAUCGUAGUCCGGAUUGCAGGCUGCAACUCGCCUGCAUGAAGUCGGAAUCGCUAGUAAUCGUGGAUCAGCAUGUCACGGUGAAUACGUUCCCGGGUCUUGUACACACCGCCCGUCACACCAUGGGAGCGGGUUCCGCCAGAAGUAGGUAGCCUAACCGCAAGGGGGGCGCUUACCACGGCGGGGUUCGUGACUGGGGUGAAGUCGGAACAAGGUA
This 1416-nucleotide ribosomal RNA is filed under the name metagenome. RNAcentral describes it as "bacterial SSU rRNA". It matches the Rfam family "Bacterial small subunit ribosomal RNA". The record is from RNAcentral.